This 75-nucleotide transfer RNA is filed under the name Anaerolineaceae bacterium 4572_32.2. RNAcentral's name for it is "tRNA-Met". It matches the Rfam family "tRNA". From Rfam's summary of the family: Transfer RNA (tRNA) molecules are approximately 80 nucleotides in length. Their secondary structure includes four short double-helical elements and three loops (D, anti-codon, and T loops). Further hydrogen bonds mediate the characteristic L-shaped molecular structure. tRNAs have two regions of fundamental functional importance: the anti-codon, which is responsible for specific mRNA codon recognition, and the 3' end, to which the tRNAs corresponding amino acid is attached (by aminoacyl-tRNA synthetases). tRNAs cope with the degeneracy of the genetic code in two manners: having more than one tRNA (with a specific anti-codon) for a particular amino acid; and 'wobble' base-pairing, i.e. permitting non-standard base-pairing at the 3rd anti-codon position. Lineage: Bacteria; Bacillati; Chloroflexota; Anaerolineae; Anaerolineales; Anaerolineaceae. The record is from RNAcentral. RNAcentral also lists the same sequence under 1 other name.
UGCGGGGUAGAGCAGAGGCAGCUCGUCGGGCUCAUAACCCGGAGGUCCCAGGUUCGAAUCCUGGCCCCGCUACCU